GGUCUUUGAUAGUAAACCUAGCCAUUUUUUUGUUUUGUUUUAGGGCUAAAGAUUUAUUCAAAACCUCAGCAUGUUAUCUAUAAGUUAUUAGUAAAAGGAGAUGAUCUUAAUCUGUUGGACCUGAAACUGGAAAUGAAGACUCAUCAUUCUAAAAUGAGAAGUAACAAUUAAAAUGUUUUCUGGAGUACUCAGAGGGUUUACAGACUUCCACAAGAUGACACAGCCAGUACAAGUCAGGGACAGGCAUUCUGCCAUGCUUUAUUGAAGACGCACUCUCUUGUUGGUUCCACUUUGCCAAUAGUUCUCAAAUGUGUGGAUCAUGGCCAGAUAUGAAGAGGAAAUGGAUCUCAUUUUUUGGACAAGAUAUACAAAAGAGCCACUGCACAGGUCAAAAAAAACCAAUCCAAGAAGGAUUGACGCACUUCUAAGUCAACACAAAGGACUUGAACCUAGUGUGAAGACUCAAGGUUGCGACGCUUAACAUACAUUAAGAUGUAGGCCUUCCUUGUAUCCACACUCUUUGUGAAAAUACUUACAGACAAGUAUCCCUAACUUGGCUCCUACUUGGUUUCUAUAAUCUAGUCCCUUCUCUGUCUUUCAUAGUGUGGUAAACUUUCUGUAGUCCUGGCUACUGAUUGGGUAAAUGCUUACUACCUUAUAACAUUUUAAUUGGGCCCUGAUUCAAGGAAAUGUUAUAGAUUUAUUUUUCCUUUACUUAGAAUUUUUACACAUAAGACUUUGAUAGACUACAUUUUCAUCCAGAAAUUAUCUUAUUUAUUGGGAUUUUUUUUAUGUCUUUUAAUUUCUCUUGCCAAUUGAUUCAUAUAUCUCAUAACUCAGCCAUGCAUCCUUAAAUGAUCCCUGUGUUUUUCAAUCACCCUCUUCAAGGGGGGAAUGUAAAAAUAUUAUUAUUUUAAAUUGCGAAGUUUAAAUUCUUUUGAGAAGAAAUUUAGGUUAAGAAACAAGUUACCUCUCCAAAUCCAGAAACUG
This 990-nucleotide long non-coding RNA is filed under the name Monodelphis domestica (gray short-tailed opossum). RNAcentral describes it as "lncRNA (ENSMODG00000038702.1)". Lineage: Eukaryota; Metazoa; Chordata; Mammalia; Didelphimorphia; Didelphidae. The record is from RNAcentral.